AAAUUCCUACGGGACGCAGCAGUGGGGGAUAUUGCACAAUGGGGGAAACCCUGAUGCAGCGACGCCGCGUGAGUGAAGAAGUAUUUCGGUAUGUAAAGCUCUAUCGGCAGGGAAGAAAAAAAUGACAGUACCUGACUAAGAAGCCCCGGCUAACUACGUGCCAGCAGCCGCGGGAAUACGUAGGGGGCAAGCGUUAUCCGGGUUUACUGGGGGUAAAGGGAGCGGAGGCGGCCACGC
Molecule: ribosomal RNA, 237 nt
Filed under: uncultured bacterium
Lineage: Bacteria
Description: partial 16S ribosomal RNA
Rfam family: Bacterial small subunit ribosomal RNA
Source: RNAcentral